This 4359-nucleotide unclassified non-coding RNA is filed under the name Hevea brasiliensis (rubber tree). Lineage: Eukaryota; Viridiplantae; Streptophyta; Magnoliopsida; Malpighiales; Euphorbiaceae. The record is from RNAcentral.
ACACUUGACCUAGCAGAACACCAUCCUUCAUCGCUUGUUUAAAGUUAAUUAAACACUAUAAGAUCAUCCCAUUAUCGAAUAGGUGCAAUUUACAACUAGGACGUAUAGCAAAACUCACAAAUUUAUUUGAUUGUUAAGCUUCUAUUCCUUUAAAAAGUUGGUCUUCGUUAAAACCAAACCCAAUGAUGCAUAUUGUUUAAAGCCAUGUGGAGCCUAACCAGGUUUCAUGACAGUUGGUAGCAGGCCAACUUGGCUGCCUCAACAAUUAUUUUCUCAAGCCCUUGUCAAAACACUCCAAUUGGGCACUUCAUUUAGUAGCUUAGCUUCUAGUUUAUCCACCAAUUGCAAUGACAAACUCAUUCAGCACAGACAAUCUUGAACUGAGCAAAGUCUGCAUCAAGUAGAGUAAGAGUAACCAUCAAAAAGAGCAAAACUUCUCUUAUCAAGUUUCAAAACAAAUACAGCCAUUUUGCAAAAUUCCAGGAGUUCCAAACAAAUAUGCCAUUAGAAUUUGUGUUUGUCACUCUUUUUAGGUACAACAACAGUCAUUACAACAUUCUGGGAGGGGAAGAAUGGGCGGCAUUCCUAGUAAGAUUCAUAUGUAAUGUCUUCAUAUUGCAUUCUUCGUAAAACCUGAGGGCAAAAAUGAGAACGAAUUAUUUUCUGGGGUCUCAUAGCAUGCAAAUGCAUUCCAAAAGGGAGAGAAUGAGAAGGGACAACGGAAGGACUACCUCAACUAUUGCUUCACUUGCAGUGAAUUUUCUAUGCGUUGAAUGAACUUAUCUUUAGAGAAAGCACCCUCCUGAAAAUUAUCACGCCAAAGCAGCAACCUCAGUAAAAACUCGAACUCAGAAAGCGAACUCAGAAAGUGGAUGCAAGUAGAUGGAUAUUGAAAAAUGAAAAACAAGACUAAAAGAAAAAAAAAAAUCCAGCAUGGUGAUAAAUAUUGUUAAGAGGAAGUGAAUUACUCUCCUCUGGCAGAUACAGAUUAUAGGCCUUGCAGCAAACAAUUUAUAUAUGAUUUCUUCUCCUUUUUCCUAUUGAUAUUUUAGUUAAUUGUUCUAACAUAAAGAAUGCCAUUGACAGGAAAAUUAGCAAGCAGAUACACAUAGGAAAACAGUCUUUGGUGAUGGAGAGGAGCUUUGUGCAUUUCAAGAACAUCAUUCUGGAAAGGUAAAGCUAUUUUUUCACAAAAGCUUACAGAUAAUAAACUUACGAAGCGAUCAUAAGGUUUCCCAUCCUUAAAUAUGAUAAAAGUAGGCAAUGCUUCUAUUCUGUAUUUGUCAGCAAUGCUAGGGUACUUCUCAGUAUCGAUUUUCACCACCUGGAUUGUGUCAUUCAGGAUGGCACUGACCUCUUUAAGAAUUGGACUCAUAAGCUGGCAUGGACCGCACCUGCAAACAGCUUGGUCUAAUCACUCUUACUCUUUAGUUGAAAUUUCUAAUCUAUUCCAAAAUUUUCAAAAUGUGUCAUCUUAAGACUCAGCAUUAUAAUAUUCUUUUGCACAAAAUGUAAAUCUCAAUUCCACAACACAUUUGGGGGGAAAAAUCUCCUAAGCCUAGCAAAUUAACUCUAAUUAUUUGAUUCCCUUCCUUCACUUGGGGAAGGUGGAAGAUUUAAUUCUGCACAUUAUCAGAUUGGGGCCUUAGAUAAUUUGAAGAUGAUUAGACACAAUCUCCAUUUCACAAUCUCUCUCAGAAAAUGUACUAAAAUACAUAAAAAAGUAAUGAAGAGAACGGUACCAGGCUGCAUAGAAGUCAACCAAGACUGGUUUGUCAGCAUUUGCCAAUAACUCAUCCAAGUUGGAAAAUGUUUGCUUCUUUGCUGCAAGCUGCAGCAAUCAUUUGCCAAAAGAAAUACUAUCACUUCAAUUUCAGAAAGGCAGUUUAGAGUCAAUAUAUAGCUGCAAACAAAACUAGUAGAUAAAGUAACUCUCAAGACCCAUCCGAUAGAGUAAGAUUGAGCACUCUCUUUAUUGCAUUUACAAUUAAUGUACUAAAAACAAUAGAGGAAAAAAAAAAUGCUAUCUCCUGACAAACAAAAGAUGGAUAUUAAUUUCAUGCCCGUUGGACACGGAAGUGGUAUGCCACUUAACUAAGUAUAAGGUAUGUAUAAGGUGGGCUUGGAAUGUCAAUUUGAAUCACGGUACGUGAAUUAUAUUUUUUGCUGCACAAUUCUUUUUUUAAAAUUUUAUUUAGAAUAAUAUAUUUAUUAAAAAAAUAUAUUGAUUUAAUAUGAGUAAUUAAUUAAUAUGAUAAAUUUUUUGACAUAAUAAUCACAUUAUUCAAAUUUUGAAAUACAUACUAUUUUUCUUAUUAUUAAUUAUUUUUAAUGUUAAAAUUACAAUAUUGAAGAAUAUAAUUAGUAAUAUAUUCUCCUCCUCCUCCUCCUCUAUUCCCUUUUCUAGUUCUACCACUGUAUCUUGGAAACCCUGUUUUAGCAAAUCGGAAGACAAAGCAUAACGUUCCAAAAUGCUGAAGUACCGCAUUUGGGUAGAGUUCCAGGAUGGGGUAUACAGGGGCUGAGUAAACUAGGUAACUAUGGUCUAUCUGCUCCUAUUAAAUUACUUUGUCUGGCAUAAGAAAAGGGACACAUCUAACUUGAAAUAUGCAACUCAGUUUAUUUCUGAUGGAUCAUUUGUAAUGGUAGAAAGAAUGACGGUUUUUGCUGCUCAUGUACAAGCAUAAAGGACAACAAUAGCUGUUACUAUUACCACAUGAUGUUAAUUGAUAGAGAAUCUUGAACAUAGCAGAAGCAUCUAAACUACCCAGAAUAAUACAAACUGCUACAGAUGGCAAAGGCAGAAAGAGUCCCAGCUGUGAAAUAAGUUCCUUCCAAAAUAGACCUCCUAUAAGUGUGAUCUUUUAAAGGGUUUUUUGAAUAAGUUACUUCAGCUCCACGAUUUAUUUUCUUUGAAUCAUAAAUCAAGUAGUACCAAUUUAGCUCACUAAUUGAGGAGUGAAUAUUGAGACAUGUAGAUCAUUAAGCACCCAUGAUUCAUGGAGUACUUGAUUUUUUUUUAAGAAAAAAGGAAAAAAGAAAUGCCCUUCAACAAUUAUGCACUACUGCUGAAAUAUCCUCCAGAACAUAUAUAAACCCAUUUCAGAACCACAUUUGAAUAGGGAGUGAAUAUCAACCUUUCCGGAAGUACAGCUGUAAAGAAGAACAAAUGAAGUACCAUUGAAAUUAACCAUUAUAAAAGCACCCAAAAGAUUCUAAAUUUUAUUAUGGGCUUAGAAAUUAUUUUAGUGAAAUGAAGCAUCACUCCAAGGUUCUGCCUGGUUUAUGAUGAAAUUGAAUGUUAAUUCCAUUCAUUCAUUCUCAUGUUUGGUACGGUACUUUUGGAAAACAAAUAAUAUGAUUAUACAGAGAAUAACAUGACCCAAAAUGACCUGAAUCUCAAUCUCAUUGACUUUUUUUUUUAAUACUAUUAGAUUGCGUCACCACCCACUUCUAUAGCAAACUAAUUUUUUUUUCUUUUUCUAAUUCCUUCUUGUCUUUCUUUUAUGUGCUAUAAAAUCUGAGAUGUUCCAGGAGGUAUGGCUACGUUUUCGAUGUGAAGAAAUGAUAUUGCUAACAGAUAUGAUGACUCUAUAUUCACCUAUUCCCUCUACUCCAUAUUAUUAUGUAAAACAAGAUGUGAGGCCAUAGGCUUAAAACCUAUUCCCUGACGUGUCAAUGACAAUACACAUAUUUCCUCAUAGCAAAAACUAAAGAUAGUUAAUGGAUUAUGCAUGUAUAAUAUUCGUUACAAUUGGUCUAAAAUGAUAUAUAAAUUUACCAUCUUUCUCUCUUUUUUAAGUAUUUUAUAUUUGACAGCUCCCUGCAUAUUACAUACUUAGUAAAUAGAAUCAAACCGUGAAGUUCCAGUUUUCCCGGGAACCAAGUUCCUCCUUAUUCCCCUUUAAAAUUCAUUUCCCUUUAGCUGACUGACCAAAUCAAAGGCAUCUAACACCAAGCAAUAAAGACCCUUGCGACUCAUUGACAACAGCUAAAAUCUUAAGCAAAAAUUUCAAAGUUGCAGAAAAUCAAGAACAAUCUCCAUGGAAAAUGCAAAUAUCCCAUCAAAUUGACCUAAACCCAAUUACCUAUCUCAUACAUAAAGAUUGAACAAGACAGGCAAUUUUACUCUACAUAUUUAAGCUCAUCCGAAAAGGAAAAGAAAAAGAAAACGGAAUAUAAAGUGGGGAAUAGAGGGUAAGAGUAUUUACCAGAGGCAAAAUUCGAGACCUAGAAGGAGAGGAAAUCCCUCUGAUCCCAAACUGAAGCCUCUGAAGUUGCACUGGAAACUUCAGUGAAGACAAAGAAGUCAAAUUGGUAGCACUCCACUGUGACUGCGGUGUCUUCAAAGAAGGAAUC